This 82-nucleotide transfer RNA is filed under the name Tuanshanicoccus lijuaniae. RNAcentral describes it as "tRNA-Leu". It matches the Rfam family "tRNA". Rfam says of the family: Transfer RNA (tRNA) molecules are approximately 80 nucleotides in length. Their secondary structure includes four short double-helical elements and three loops (D, anti-codon, and T loops). Lineage: Bacteria; Bacillati; Bacillota; Bacilli; Lactobacillales; Aerococcaceae. The record is from RNAcentral.
GCGGGUGUGGCGGAAUUGGCAGACGCACCAGAUUUAGGAUCUGGCGCCUACGGGCGUGGGGGUUCAAGUCCCUUCACCCGCA